CGCACCUUGCGCCCUUUGGUAUUCUGAAGGGCAUGCCUGUUUGAGUGUCAUGAAAAACUCACCUAAGGGUUUCCUUAGUGUGGACGUGGUCGUUGCGAUUCGCUCGACUUAAAGACCUUAGCGGUGGACGCGUCGUAGGCGUAAUAAGUUUCGUCUUCUAGCCUUAAGCUGCUCAUAACCCCUAUUUUUGCAUCAGACCUCAAAUCAGGUAGGACUACCCGCUGAACUUAA
RNAcentral lists this unclassified non-coding RNA (231 nucleotides) under Tremellomycetes sp. Its description in RNAcentral is "partial contains 5.8S ribosomal RNA, internal transcribed spacer 2, and large subunit ribosomal RNA". Lineage: Eukaryota; Fungi; Basidiomycota; Tremellomycetes. The record is from RNAcentral.